UGAGUGACAUGGACUGAGAAAUAUAAGAGAAGUAACAGUUUGAAAACUCAGGGUAAAAAAGAAAACUGAGUGUAGAAGAUCAUUUUUCAGGAUGACCACACAGACUAUGGCAUCAGACAGCCUGGGUCCAAACCCAGCUGCACCACAUGACCAUACCGAAUGUGAGCUUCGGUGUCCACAUCUGUGCCUACCUCAUUCAGCUUUCAGAAGAAUUGAAUAAAACUGGAAAUAUUCCCUGGCCUUUCCCACUCAUUGGCCUCAGCGCCCUCAUUGUGAGUGGGAAUCACACCUGCACCAAUUUCUACAUUGUCCAGAGCCAGUGGCCUGACCUCUGACUGAGUGACAUGUUACCUUCGUUUGUGCCUUUGAAGAGAUAUGCUAUCUGUAUAAAAAAGCCAAACAGAAAAGAGCUUUCUUGGCUGGUGGUGGAUGUGGGUGAAAGCUAGGUUGGCAUAUUGCUUCAAUUCCUGAGAGCAGCCUAGAUAAUUCUGAGGGACCUCCAGAUCUUAUCUAGUUCUGCUGCCCUAAGAAUUUGAGAUUUUGAAGGCAAAGGGCAGACUGAUGUGAUUUUAGAUGUAGAUGGAGUCUCAUUUGCAAACAAAUAUCAUGCGUGGAAUUCUACUAAAUUUGAGAGACUAGAAUCUAGUUGGUUACUGUUUCAAUUGAAGAAACAAGAUGUAAAAAAGUAAGAGGUUCAAGCCAGCAAUGACAGUGUGAGCCUCUCCUGGAAAUGGGAGUCUUUGUGAACAGAGACAAUACUUUGAAAGAGGACACAGGCUGUGAAUAGGGUCAGUUUAGAGCUCUGUAGGACCAGGUACUUGUUUGUAGGCACACCCUAUAUCAUGUCCAACAUAGAAAAUACACUCAUAUCCCACACUUAAUAUCACUGAUAUGCAUUAUAGAGGAGGUGACGUUGACAGGAUAACAAAGUUAUUUAGUAGAUAUUUAGUUGAAUGUCUAAUUUUGAUGGUGGAGUUUUCAUUCUGUAUUUUAAAGCAACUUCAUUCAUUCAGGUCUGCAAUAUUUUGUGAGUCCCUUGCAAAACUGGUUUAGGGCCAAGACAUUGCUUAUAGGGAGGGAUGGGUAGAGCAGACUUCACCAGAGUAAGAGGGUAAGGUGGAAGCGUAAAAGUGGACAAAGAGCAAGUACAUAUUGACAUUGUGUGUGGUAGGGCAUUUCCUGGCCUUCGCUGAAGAUCAGAGGUCAAGAGAAUACAUUGAGUUUUGUUUCAGGAGGAGGUGUGGAAAUGUCCAUACUGCCUCCUCUAGUGCUCUGACGAUUGGAACCUCUCUACACAGGAUUUCCAGCAGAAAUGCAGGCUUGAGUACUGCUCUAUUUUAGGUGAGUCUGCACUCCACUGCUCAGAAAAGGUCAGUUUUCCCCUAACCAUCUGGGGUGACCAGGCUGAUUCCCCCAGGAGUCUGGGAGUGCUAAUUUAGGCUGUUGAUUCUGCAAAUGCAAUGGCACAUUUUUCAAGAUUGAAAAAGUGGUAAUAAGAAAACUCUGUCAUGACCCACAGCUUCCUUAAUGAUGGCCUCACUGCCAAAUGCAGACCUGAUUUGCUUAGCACAGUACAAUAUCAAUCCAUGACUUCAAGAAAUGUCAGGCUGAACAUUUUUUUGCCUCGAGUUAAUGACUUGUCAUCCUAGAAAAAAAUGUCUAAUCAAAGAUGAAUUUAAAUAUGUUUCAUUUGUGUUUUUAUAAAGAAUAUGUGGGGGUGGCAUUAUUUUUACAGCAUAAUAAAAAGGCAACCUUUCUUUACAGCUCUCUGAAAUGUUUCAGGAGGUGGGAAUAAAGAUCUUUCUGUCUUGAACCCUGUCACUUUGAGUCCAAUGCAGUCCUAUGGCCAGGAGGCCAGAUUGUUCCUAUUGUCCCUGGAGGGCCCUGGGUUUCAAAGACCAGUCAAAUCCACUUCUUGAAGAAGAAAUAGGUUUUAGAGAAAAACUCAAUGGAAUUGAAGACCCCAAAAUGUGUGCAGUGAGCAACAUUUUUUUCCAGUAGGUAUUAGUAAAAUUUAAACUGAAUUAUUUGAGUUAAACCUUUUUUGUAUCCAUGUGAAUAAUUACUACCCAGUCAUUAUCUAGUCAGGAACAUCAAACAUUUGCUAUUCAAAGAAACUCAAUUUAAUAAGGGAAUAAUAUUUUCCAUUUAUGCUGGUUUUCUGUUUAAUGCAUGUUUGGGUCACAUGUUAGAUGAAGAAACAACAAAAAUUUGGCAUUUGAAUUUCAGUCACGUUGUACAUCCUGAGGGAAAACAAUUCAUG
Molecule: non-coding RNA, 2263 nt
Organism: Callithrix jacchus (white-tufted-ear marmoset)
Lineage: Eukaryota; Metazoa; Chordata; Mammalia; Primates; Cebidae
Source: RefSeq, a predicted model, not a curated record